Molecule: ribosomal RNA, 468 nt
Filed under: uncultured bacterium
Lineage: Bacteria
Description: partial 16S ribosomal RNA
Rfam family: Bacterial small subunit ribosomal RNA
Source: RNAcentral
GACGAACGCUGGCGGCGUGCUUAACACAUGCAAGUCGAACGGAAAGGCCCUGCUUUUGUGGGGUGCUCGAGUGGCGAACGGGUGAGUAACACGUGAGUAACCUGCCCUUGACUUUGGGAUAACUUCAUGAAACUGGGGCUAAUACCGCAUAGGAGCUCCUGCUGCAUGGUGGGGGUUGGAAAGUUUCGGCGGUUGGGGAUGGACUCGCGGCUUAUCAGCUUGUUGGUGGGGUAGUGUCUUACCAAGGCUUUGACGGGUAGCCGGCCUGAGAGGGUGACCGGACACAUUGGGACUGAGAUACGGCCCAGACUCCUACGGGAGGCAGCAGUGGAGAAUAUUGCACAAUGGGCGGAAGCCUGAUGCAGCAACGCCGCGUGCGGGAUGACGGCCUUCGGGUUGUAAACCGCUUUCGCCUGUGACGAAGCGUGAGUGACGGUAAUGGGUAAAGAAGCACCGGCUAACUACGUG